ACUCAAAUGAAUUGACGGGGGAUCGCACAAGCGGUGGAGCAUGUGGUUUAAUUCGACGAUAACCGGAGAACCUUACCAGGGUUUGACAUCUACGGAAUCUCUUGGAAACAAGAGAGUGCCCGCAAGGGAGCCGUAAGACAGGUGUUGCACGGCUGUCGUCAGCUCGUGGCGUGAGCUGUACCCUUAAGUGGGUAAACGAGCGAAACCCUCAUCGUCUGUUGGAUUUUUCAGACGAGACUGCCGGCUUUUCGCUGGAGGAAGGUGGGGAUGACGCCAAGUCAGCGUGGCCCUUACACCCUGGGCUACACACGUGCUACAAUGGCAUCGACAAAGGGUUGCAAAAUCGCAAGAUGGAGCUAAUCCCACCAAAAGAUGCCUCAGUUCGGAUUGGAGGCUGCAACUCGCCUCCAUGAAGCCGGAAUCGCUAGUAACCGUGGGUCAGCUAUACCACGGUGAAUACGUUCUCGAUCCUUGUACACACCGCCCGU
This 488-nucleotide ribosomal RNA is filed under the name uncultured bacterium. Its description in RNAcentral is "partial 16S ribosomal RNA". It matches the Rfam family "Bacterial small subunit ribosomal RNA", at positions 899 to 1397 of the family's 1533-position model. The record is from RNAcentral.